UCCAAAAACAAUUCACUUUUCUUUUUCAUUUAGAGAUAGAGCGCACAAGCAAGGUGGGGGGAAAGGGAGAGAGAAGGAAAGAAUCAUCCAAGAUCAUGACCUCAAGAAAGACCCACGACAGCUGUGUGCUAGCGCAUAGCAGGUAUGUGCUGCAUCUCAAACACCUCUGCUUCACUUUCUUACCAAUUUUCAAGGACAAAUUUAAUUUGUGGACCCUGCCCUCUUUACCACUAAGGUGACAGAAAUAAAAGAGCCAUUUUCAAGGGAUUUUAAGCCUUC
This 279-nucleotide long non-coding RNA is filed under the name Vulpes vulpes (red fox). RNAcentral describes it as "lncRNA (ENSVVUG00000021796.1)". The record is from RNAcentral. Lineage: Eukaryota; Metazoa; Chordata; Mammalia; Carnivora; Canidae.